Long non-coding RNA from Astyanax mexicanus (Mexican tetra), 918 nucleotides. RefSeq lists it as uncharacterized. NCBI's taxonomy places the organism in Eukaryota, Metazoa, Chordata, Actinopteri, Characiformes, Acestrorhamphidae. The record is from RefSeq and is a predicted model, not a curated record. The transcript has 5 exons.
AGCCCCAUAAAUAUGGUUAUGGGACACAUAAAUUAAUGCCAGUUAAUGCAUGUGCCUCACACUUUUGUCCUGUUUGUGACUUUCCUGGCCCCUCAGUGUCUGCCUACAAGCUCACAUAGUGUCAAUCUACAUGUAUGUUGUUCUACAGUGGCUAAUGAAAUCACAAAUCAAGUCCAGUAAGAGUAUGAAGCCAGAAUUCUACAUUUUGUAAUGAUUUAUUUAAUUACGGCACAUACACGUUUUGGUACAUUACUGUCCUUUAACAAUUGGUUUUAAUGCUAGCUACAUUACAGCACAAUUAACAAUGCAGUCAGUAAAUUGUCCUAUUGGAAUUUCUUGCAGAUAGAGAAGUGUCCAGCACAGCUCAAACAACAGACGUCAAUUUUUGGGGGUCGUCAGAGCUGUGUGUGCGGGUACCACUGUGUAAAGACCACUAGUGAACAUACAUCUACUGUGCCAUGCACAUCAAGACAACCUGUGUGUUCCAGCCCCUCUUUACCCACACUCACAGUUUCCCAGCGACAAAUAUUUAAACCAUCUCGUUUUGGUGGAAAGCAUGUCGCUGCAGCAAAACCAGUGCUUAGUCAGGCCAGGCCUCCAACUAAGGAUCAUGCCACUGACACUACUACAGCUGGCCCACCUGCAUUCACCAGUCCUGCUGUUGCCAGGGCCACAUCCACUGCCCUGCAGCAAUCAUGCAGUCCCAAGACUUACAUCCAGACCACAUCCCCUUUUUCCUUGCCUCCUUCUUUAUCUACCUCUGCAAGGAGGAAGCCAUCCACCUUGUCGAUGUCUUCUGUGUCCACCGUUUCUAGUGAAUCCAUUACCACCAGCUGUGCAUCAGAUGACUGCCCCAGUGUGGAAACCACUCUAUCCAGUCUUCCCUCUGUUGUACCUGCUGUCCCACCUGUCCCUCAG